RNAcentral lists this ribosomal RNA (393 nucleotides) under uncultured bacterium. RNAcentral describes it as "partial 16S ribosomal RNA". It matches the Rfam family "Bacterial small subunit ribosomal RNA", at positions 523 to 918 of the family's 1533-position model. The record is from RNAcentral.
AUACGGAGGAUCCGAGCGUUAUCCGGAUUUAUUGGGUUUAAAGGGAGCGUAGGUGGACAGUUAAGUCAGUUGUGAAAGUUUGCGGCUCAACCGUAAAAUUGCAGUUGAUACUGUCAGUCUUGAGUGUGCAUGAGGUGGGCGGAAUUUGUGGUGUAGCGGUGAAAUGCUUAGAUAUCACGAAGAACUCCGAUUGCGAAGGCAGCUCACUAGACUGUUACUGACACUGAUGCUCGAAAGUGUGGGUAUCAAACAGGAUUAGAUACCCUGGUAGUCCACACAGUAAACGAUGAAUACUCGCUGUUUGCGAUAUACAGUAAGCGGCCAAGCGAAAGCAUUAAGUAUUCCACCUGGGGAGUACGCCGGCAACGGUGAAACUCAAAUGAAUUGACGGGG